RNAcentral lists this transfer RNA (71 nucleotides) under human gut metagenome. It matches the Rfam family "tRNA". Rfam says of the family: Transfer RNA (tRNA) molecules are approximately 80 nucleotides in length. Their secondary structure includes four short double-helical elements and three loops (D, anti-codon, and T loops). The record is from RNAcentral.
GCGAGGUAGCUUAGUUGGCUAGAGCGUCCGGUUCAUACCCGGAAGGUCAUGGGUUCGAAUCCCAUCUUCGC